GGCUCGAUGAGUCCCCAGCCCACUCUUGCUUGCUUCUUGAGACAAGGUUGUUCUGCAUCUCUAAUGAGGAGAACUCACUAAAGAUGCACCUUAGCGGGAAAAGCUCAGACUCUGGAGUCAGACAGACCUCAGCCAAUAACUAAAGCUCCCUGGAGCUCCAUGUUCCCAUCUGUGAAUUGGGAAUAACAAUCCUGACCACGAGAGAUCUGCAGGUCAGUGCCCAGCUAGUGCUGGUACUCCGUGCCCCCUCUUGGGGCUUGGUUGCCCCCAGUCAGGCCUGCUCAAUUCUCAGAGGGUAGAGGCUGGGAAUCCUGUUCCUCCUGAGUCUUCCUGGGUCUCAGCUCUUUGGUCACCAUCAUUAUAGAGAACAAGGAGCAAAGAAAAGAGGGAAGACCAGGAAGAAAUGAAAGAUGGCUUUGAAGAGAACUGUGUGGCACCAGGGGACUGUCUAGCCAGGACCUGGGGGGGUGGGGCAGAAGAGGCCCUAUGUCCAGUGAGCUGAGCCCUUCCUGAGCUGCAGACCGGGCGCUGGCCUGAAGGUGCUGUUGAGGACAGCACGAUGAGGGCUGGCCCCUCCCUGCCCCCUCCCCCUCUCUGCUGAGCCUUGCAGGAUAAGUGUGUGCAAAGCUGCCGGGAGCCACCAGGCCGGCUCAGGUUUCUCCAUCAGUCCUGGGCCCCCCCCCCCCAGACAACUCAAAACCUCCUUGAACCUCCCUUCCCAAAUCUGAGAACUGGGGACCAUGACACCUCCCUCAUGGGUCCCUUGGGGGUUCAGGUGCCACCUUGAAUAUGUGUACAGAGCACCUGGCCCAGGAAGUGCCUCAAGAAAGGACCUGGCUGCCUUGGGUUCCUGGCUGCCCCCGUCCCCACCUGCUGCCCAGAUGUUCCCUGGGGGUCAGCACCAGGCUCCAGGCCCCGACCAUCCGCCACACAGGGCGGGAGAGGAGUGAGGCACUUACCGGUCACACACAGGGUGGACUCCCUCACACAGCCUCUACACUCACACACUCUGCUUACACACGCACAAAUACACACCCAGGCGCCUCACCCACUCAGCUUACACCUCUUACACCGACACUUGUGCAC
This 1086-nucleotide long non-coding RNA is filed under the name Marmota monax (woodchuck). The record is from RNAcentral. Lineage: Eukaryota; Metazoa; Chordata; Mammalia; Rodentia; Sciuridae.